GGGGAUGGGGCCAUGCCUCAGUGGAAGAGCAUCUGCUUUGCAUGUAGAAGGUCCUUGGUUCAGUCCCCGGCAUCUCCA
Molecule: non-coding RNA, 78 nt
Organism: Podarcis lilfordi (Lilford's wall lizard)
Lineage: Eukaryota; Metazoa; Chordata; Lepidosauria; Squamata; Lacertidae
Source: the annotation of a GenBank genome assembly